AACCGCGGUUAGACGAGUUGACCCAAGCUGAUAGAAUGCGGCGUAAAGUGUGGUCUGGGUUAAACAAAACUAAAAUUGAAGACCUCCCAGACUGUUAUACGUUUAUGGAGUCAUGAAACCCAACUACGAAAGUGAUUUUAUUUUUCCACUGACCACGAAAGCUGAGAAA
RNAcentral lists this ribosomal RNA (169 nucleotides) under Samaris cristatus (cockatoo righteye flounder). RNAcentral's name for it is "partial 12S rRNA". Lineage: Eukaryota; Metazoa; Chordata; Actinopteri; Pleuronectiformes; Samaridae. The record is from RNAcentral.